RNAcentral lists this ribosomal RNA (253 nucleotides) under uncultured bacterium. Its description in RNAcentral is "partial 16S ribosomal RNA". It matches the Rfam family "Bacterial small subunit ribosomal RNA", at positions 524 to 776 of the family's 1533-position model. The record is from RNAcentral.
UACGUAGGGUCCGAGCGUUGUCCGGAAUUAUUGGGCGUAAAGGGCUCGUAGGCGGUUUGUCGCGUCGGGGGUGAAAACACGGGGCUUAACCCCGUGCCUGCUUCCGAUACGGGCAGACUAGAGGUAUGCAGGGGAGAACGGAAUUCCUGGUGUAGCGGUGAAAUGCGCAGAUAUCAGGAGGAACACCGAUGGCGAAGGCAGCUCGCUGGGACGGUACUGACGCUGAGGCGCGAAAGCGUGGGGAGCAAACAGG